This 2188-nucleotide long non-coding RNA is filed under the name Solanum tuberosum (potato). RNAcentral's name for it is "long non-coding RNA (STUB_LNC011117)". Lineage: Eukaryota; Viridiplantae; Streptophyta; Magnoliopsida; Solanales; Solanaceae. The record is from RNAcentral.
CUUCUUUAGCCUUCUCAAAAAGCUGGUUGUAAAUCUCAUCAUCAAGACAUGUUCGCCUACUUAAUAUCUGCCAACAGAACACAUUUUGUUAAGCCGGAAAACAAGAAUCCGCUGGAAAUAACAUGCAAAAACACUAGGAGAUUUCUUUCGACUUGUCCAAGCCUUAGUGAGAGGGAGGUACUAAUUGACGUGUGUGCAAACUUGGCCAAGACACCACAGUCAAAUAAAAAAAAAUGCACAUUUGAUAGCCCAACAAACUGAAGGCUUGAAAUAAAAUAUGGAGUUUGUGUAACUAAAUAUACUACUGACUUCUUUAGUUUACAUGGAACAAAAGUUUAGGAAUUGGAUAUGGAGGGAUAAUCCUAAUGUUCUAUUAGUAAACAAUAUUAGUUUCAAUACGAAGAGGAAGAGAAAGGUAGGGAAAUAUGGUUUUCCACAAAAUCUAAUCAGCUGAGCGUUAAUGAAACGUACAGGAUCUUAGGAAAGCAAAAGCUCUAAUGGGAUGAACAUGCUCAAUGCGAGGAUCAUUCACGACAUUUAACAUAAACAGCAAACUGAGAUGCCACAAAUUAUAAAUAGUCUCAUGCAAAUAAGGUAUAACAGGCUUGAAAGAACUAAAAGUAUCAAAGACUUGAUAUAAUUCUUCAAGAAAGUUACAAAUGAGAGCAGAUCAACAUAACAAUGACAGAAAAACUAGCAUGUUGAUAGACUCAGUCACUGGCCAUGAUUUCACAUCUAAACGGGUCGCCUGAUGCACAAAGCUUUCAGUCUUCAUGUAAGGUCCGGGGAAGGGCUACAACCCAAGGGUGUGUGAUGUACAUAGCCUAACCCAUCGAUCACACCGAAAAAACUUUACAGUUAUUUCAAGGCUCACCUUCAUCAUGAUUUCACAUCUAUGUACUAAAAACUCAUCCAUUUCAAAGACUACAAAACCACAAGAUUCAAAAACCUCCCUUUGUUCCUUAAACUUCAUACUCAAUCAAACUAAGACACUUAAAAAUUGGCACAGAGGGAGUCUAUAACUAAUCUAUCCAACACCUAAUAAGCAAAGUAGUCCUGAACUUCUACACUAAAAAUCCCGACUCUGCCUCUCUCUACCAACUAAAAACUCAUCCAAUUUUCAUAUAAAAUGGUAAAAGACAAUAACAUUAAAGGAUAACAAAGAAACUUACCCAUAAAUACUUCCUACUAGUCUGACCAUCUAUCUAUGUACAUAAAAAAUUAAAAAAUUAUCUUAUACAUUUUAUAGUGAACACCAUCCCACCCCCUGAUCACAAGACGACAACUUUACCAUUGUUCCAAGGCUACCAUAACUCAUCCAUUUUUUUACAACAAAUGACAAAGACAACAACUUUGAAUGUCAAAAGUUAGAAACAGGGAACUUACCCAUAGAUACUUCCUACUAGGCUGACCAUCUAUCUAUGUACAUAAAAAAAUCAAAAAAUUAUCUUAUACAUAUAUAGUUAACACCAUCCUUUCCCCUAGACGACAACUUUACCGUUGUACCAAGGCUACCAUAACUCAUCCAUUUUUCUACAAUAAUGACAAAGACAACAACUUUGAAUGUCAAAAGUUAGAAACAGGGAACUUACCCAUAGAUACUUCCUACUAGGCUGACCAUCUAUCUAUGUACAUAAAAAAAUCAAAAAAUUAUCUUAUACAUAUAUAGUUAACACCAUCCUGCUGCCCCCCCGAUCACAAGACGACAACUUUACCGCCGUUCCAAGGCUACCAUAACUCAUCCAUUGUUCAAUAACAAAUGACAAAGACAACAACUUUGAAUGUCAAAAGUUAGGGAAAAGGGAACUUACCCAUAAAUACCUCCUGCUAGGUUGACCAAUCAAAGCAUACUGAUAAUCCUCAUCAAUAUACAAAACCCAAUAAUCACCACGAUCACAAGACGACAACUUUACCGCCGUUCCAAGGCUACCAUAACUCAUCCACUUGUCAAUACAAAUGACAAGACAACAACUUUGAAUGUCAAAAGUUAGGAAAAGGGAACUUACCCAUAAAUACCUCCUGCUAGGUUGACCAAUCAAAGCAUACUGAUAAUCCUCAUCAAUAUACAAAACCCAAUAAUCACCAGUUACAGGAAUAAUAGGCAAAAAUGGUGGAACAUAAAACCUGACUUUCAAUUUUGCCUCAUCACUAUUAGGAUCAGCCUUAUAAGCAGUGCCUUCAAUAAACC